Molecule: ribosomal RNA, 253 nt
Filed under: uncultured bacterium
Lineage: Bacteria
Description: partial 16S ribosomal RNA
Rfam family: Bacterial small subunit ribosomal RNA
Source: RNAcentral
UACGUAGGGUGCGAGCGUUAAUCGGAAUUACUGGGCGUAAAGCGUGCGCAGGCGGUUCGUUAAGUCAGAUGUGAAAGCCCCGGGCUCAACCUGGGAACUGCAUUUGAAACUGGGAGACUUGAGUGUGGCAGAGGGGGGUGGAAUUCCACGUGUAGCAGUGAAAUGCGUAGAUAUGUGGAGGAACACCGAUGGCGAAGGCAGCCCCCUGGGUUAACACUGACGCUCAUGCACGAAAGCGUGGGGAGCAAACAGG